Macaca fascicularis (crab-eating macaque) is the source of this 4196-nucleotide long non-coding RNA. NCBI's taxonomy places the organism in Eukaryota, Metazoa, Chordata, Mammalia, Primates, Cercopithecidae. The record is from Ensembl.
GGUAUGAAAGUCAUGAGAAACCCGAGCUUAACCACUUGGUGACCGUGCACAGUCAAGAAUUUCACCAUGACGAGGCAUAGGAAGGAACCUAAUUAAUAUCCAGGGAAGCCACCCACAGGAAGGAAUUUCUUUCCCAGAAAGCUAGUAUGAUUUAAUAUUAGAAAAUCUAUAAACAUGAUUUAUAUGAAUAAACCAAGAAAUAUUUUUUAAAAUGUAAAUCUCAAAGGUUGCUAAAAUGGCAUGUGUGAAUAUUUGGUAUCUCUUACUUUACCUAAAAUGCCUAGAAAAGAAAAGAUGCUACUGACCUCAAACAAAAGCCCAACACCAUGUUUGAGGAUGAAAUGCUACUGUCAUUCCUAUGAGGGUCAAGAAGGUGACAAAAAAGCUUUCUAUCAGCGGUAUGAUUUCAAAGUCUUGAUGAAUACUGGGCAUUGGACUUUUCAAAAGGCUUAACCACGGAAAAGGGGGCUAAGUGUUUUCAACUGAUCUGAUUAUCUUGCAAAUGAUCAAAUAUCUAGAACAGUUUUUCUCAGAAUAGCUUUACACUUCAAAAAUUAGUAGGAACCCCAAAAUCUUUUCUGUAAGUUUUAUCUGCCAAUAUUUACUUCAAAAUUAUUAGAACAGAAAUUUUGAUGAAUUUAUCUUAAAAUCCACUUUAAAGUAGUACUUAAAAACCUAUCACGACUGAGCGCGGCGGCUCAAGCCUGUAAUCCCAGCAUUUUGGGAGGCCGAGGCAGGUGAAUCACGAGGUCAGGAGAUCGAGACCUUCCUGGCUAACAGGGUGAAACCCCGUUUCUACUAAAAACACGAAGAAUUAGCCAGGCGUUGUGGCAGGCGCCUGUAGUUCCAGCUACUCGGGAGGCUGGGGCAGGAGAAUGGGGUGAACCCGAGAGGGUGAGGUUGCAGUGAGCCGAGAUCACGCCUCUGCACUCCAGCCUGGGUGACAAGGCGAGACUCCAUCUCAAACAAACAAACAAACAAACAAACAAAACCUAUCACCUCAUGUUAACAUAAAUUACAAACGCACAUGAAAAAAUAUUUUUUCUAAAGCCGUAGAGUGGUGAUCGACUUUCUUUUAGAUAAUUGAAAAUCCCCUAGACUUCUUACCUAGGAAAAGUCAGCUGGAUUCUUGUAACUGCUUCUGGACGUGAUCUGUUGCCAUAUCACACACAAUGAAAGUCAGGAAAAUCCCACUGUACACGCGAGACAGCAUGAGAGUGAAAAAGGAAACUAUGAGUAAAACGAAAACGUUCCCAUAAACGAGAACCUAGAAAAAUAACUAAUAAAAGUGACCGUUUAGAAAACUGAAGAUAUGCUCCACGACUGUGGAAAAUCCACCACGUUCUCUCGGAGCAAACUGCGCUAUAGAUAUAUGAGAGCUGACAAUGUUUGGUUCACGGAAAAGAAUGCACAAAAAAUGGGUAGGACACCACACGCCACCUGCCCCCACCACCGGCUCCAAAUUGGAAGUCACUUUUGGCCAGUGACUCUGGCUCAGAGACUGUAGUUCCGUCAUUGGCUGAGCCAGUGGAGACAGGCGUGUAAACAAAAGUUCCCUGAAAAGGAAUUUGGAGGACAGAGCUCUUGUUGUGCCAGUGAACACUCGGCAAUCCCUGGAGAGGCUGCCUUGGAUAUGAAACCAAUUACACUGAAGAGAGUGGUCGGGUUUAAUAGUAAACUUUCCCUCCGAACUUCCUAAUAAAGCCCAUUUAUGCAAACGAAGGAUUGAAAUUGCUGAGCUCUAAUUGGCCAAUGCCACUGAGCCCUGAUUGGUUGAUAGACCCUAGCUCUGAUUGUAUGGUUCUGGUAUGCUCUGGCAAAGCCUCAAUGUUGAAAAAUAUUUGUCCAGGUAUAUUACAUGGGCUUAGGGAGAAAAAGCCAUAUUUAAGCCUCUGUAUUCAAACACUAUCUGUAAGCUUUGGGAAAAGUGUAAGAACAAGCCAGACAUGAAUUAUGAAGCCAAGGGAUGUGCUUUUAGAUCUUAUUACUGUAGGGAAAUUUUUGAAAAGGCUGAAGGACAGAGGCUUGUAUAUCAGUGCAAGGAUAUGCCCUCAAACAGAUUGGUCAUAGAUGAUGACAAAUGCCAGACUUGUAAUGAAGGUUUAGCAGCAGCUUCUGAUGCAAGUCAUUAGAACGAGUGUCACUGUCUGCAGAGAGUGUCCUGAAAGCAGCAACUUCUGUCCUUGGUGGAAAUAACUCAUCUCCUAUAAACUGCUCCAGAGCAGAGAAGGUUGUACCUGGAGUUGUGAAUAUCAUUUCCCCUGGUCACCAUGCUUCCUCCAGGUCUCCUACUACUACCAAAUCUGUGUCAGCAACAGCAGCAGCUCCAAGGACAGUACGUGGGGCAAUGCAAGUACCUGCAGUCAUGACAUCAGAAAAUUUCAACUAUGACAGUUGAGUCAGUUAUUGCCGGUGCACCAUUAAUAACCACCACUAGUCCAACAGAAGCAGCCUCACCAAAGGUAAUCAUUCAGGCAAACCCUACUGGGAUGCCAGCUUCUACUGAAAACAGAGACGAAAUCACCAUCCAGUCUGCCAAACUCAUUACCAUCCCUGCUACACAUCCAAGUCUGCACAGUGUAAGUAGCAGAUGAAGUCAAUUCUGACUGACUAAGUCAUUAACAUCGUUGGAAACCCCCUGGCUGUGAGAGCACUUACCACUGUUUCAAUAGUGCAUGGUACACCUUUAAUGGGACUAUCACUGCCUACUCAACAGGCAUCUGGCCAGACUCUUCUUGAAGUUAUCAGUGCAGUCAUAAAAGGUUAAAUCAGAAGCAGUGGAAAACCAGUAGAAAGAUGAUGUGGAGACUGCAGCUGGUAGAAGAGAAACCAGCAGAUGACACAAGACAGUGACCCAAGUAGCGGUUGUCAGUGAGCCUUCUGCUAUUGCCCUUCGAUUAACUAACUAUAAGAACAGAAAGACUAUUGACAUGUGAAAAAUAAAAUGGCAGCCCCACCAUGGACUUCAGACUGUGAGUGGUAGUACUGACAUAAACACUUGCAAGGGAAGUCAUCGAGAAACGUCAAAGAAGACUUUAAAACAUUUUAAUGCACAUAAGAAAACAAUGAAACUUACUGGAAAUAAAUUCCCUAUCCCAUGUGUCAGUGAGAAAUGAACUAAACGCAUUGAGAUGCUGACAGAAACCUCCCUCUUACAGUAGGAAAACAACUGAACCCGUCAAUAGGAAAAAGGAUUGAAAGGGACCAGGCAGCACGCUACUAUCUCAAGUUAUGCUAAGAUUUGAAACACUGACAUUCUGCAAGAGGUUAUACAGUUUUCAGUGAGGAGGGGUUGGGAUGGGUGAUCUCAUUGUUACAUAUAGCAACUUUUAAUGCAUUGUAUAUGCAUGUUAGCAAGUAUUACUGUGUUCUCACACUACUCACUUAACUUGUGCUAUGUGAAUACUCUGCUAAUACAGGUGUUUUUUAAAAAACUCUACAAAUACUUUAAUUUUUAGUGAUGAAAUUUUAAUGAUUUUACCACUAGAUUCAAAAUUAAAAUGGGCUUAUGGAUAUUGUUUUCUUAAUUCAGUGGUGAUUGGGACUUUCAAAGAUGCUUUAUCUAGGUUUCCUGUUAGGAAACCUAGAAUGAGUCAUGAUUUUAAGCCCCUUAUUAAUUCCCUCAGUAAUUAGUUGUCAAAAAUGAAAAUAUUCAUGAAUGAUGAGUACACAGAAUACAGAAAACCUAGUGAAAAGCCUGAAAGAGAAAAUAAAUGAACAGCAGAGUUCUGUGGGAGUUCUAUGCCGGUGCUACAUUAUCUGAUUUUCCUCGUAAUUCACCAAGAAGAACCAGCGGAACUUCACGACCAAGGGGCUGCAGUUGGUGAUGGUAACCUAGCGAAUGACCUCAGUAUCAUUCAGGAUGCAGCCAAAAUCCAGCUCCAUCAUCUCAAAGCUGAUGUUGGGGUAAUGCACUCCUCCACGCAGGUCCAGGCUGUCUCUCUAAGGGUGUUCCACAUGCUUAAUUGCUAGAAUUUCUUCUGCCACCCAGUUGUUCAGAUCCUUUCUGUAGGAGGGUUCAAACUUGAUCAGCAGGGUUUUUUUCUUCAUCGAUUUCCAGUUUUAUAGGCCACAAAGAUAAUGGAUGGAAAUUACCAACUUUUGUACUAUGCAUUUUCACCCAAUACAAGUAUUUUAGAAUGUGAACUGAAGAAUGGAUCCAAAAGCGUCAGAAAGUGAAAAGCACAAAAGAGAAA